This 631-nucleotide long non-coding RNA is filed under the name Malus domestica (apple). RNAcentral's name for it is "long non-coding RNA (MDOM_LNC016694)". Lineage: Eukaryota; Viridiplantae; Streptophyta; Magnoliopsida; Rosales; Rosaceae. The record is from RNAcentral.
AAACAAAACUAAUUAAGAAAACAAAAAAAAAACAACAACACAGAAACAAGUGAAACCAGUUCGUAGUCGAAGGUACAAAAAAAUUUAAUUUGGUCAUUUUUUAUACUCUUUACCCCCAAACUUAAACUGGACAUUGUCCCCAAUGUCAGAAAACACUAUAAUGCAAAUAAAAAUAAAAUAAAUAAAUAAUAAGAAACAAAAUAAAACAAUUGGACUGAAAACUUCCCUAAUUUGCAGUAAAAUCAAGCGAUGACCCCCAAGCUAAAAUUCUGCAAUCAACUUCAAGGGUGGAAAUAACCAAAAGUUCCUGCAAAGAAAAGAAAUAAUUCAGUUAAGUGACACAAGAAAAAAAUAAAAAAAUUGCAAACGAAAAAUUGAAAAUCACGAUAAAAGACAAUGAAUAGAACUAAUAAGUGGUCAUUGGUCGUGCUUGUUGACUUUCCACAGCUUUCCUCUUGAACGGGGUGACACUUAGCUUUUUACUUGCAAGUGAUGAUUUGAUGAUAUUGUACGGCGAAGCUUUGCUCUUUGGUGAUGUUGCAGUUCCUUAUUUGUUCUCCAAGCAGAUGUGGCAGCUUCUCUAGUUCCUCAGCUCGGACUCCUUCCGCUGGGAUGAUUGUGCAAGCUGCAU